RNAcentral lists this ribosomal RNA (433 nucleotides) under uncultured bacterium. RNAcentral's name for it is "partial 16S ribosomal RNA". It matches the Rfam family "Bacterial small subunit ribosomal RNA", at positions 29 to 507 of the family's 1533-position model. The record is from RNAcentral.
AACGAACGCUGGCGGCAUGCCUAACACAUGCAAGUCGAACGAGACCUUCGGGUCUAGUGGCGCACGGGUGCGUAACGCGUGGGAACCUGCCCUUAGGUUCGGAAUAACUCCCCGAAAGGGGUGCUAAUACCGGAUAAUGUCUUCGGACCAAAGAUUUAUCGCUUUUGGAUGGGCCCGCGUUGGAUUAGCUAGUUGGUAGGGUAAAAGCCUACCAAGGCGACGAUCCAUAGCUGGUCUGAGAGGAUGAUCAGCCACACUGGGACUGAGACACGGCCCAGACUCCUACGGGAGGCAGCAGUGGGGAAUAUUGGACAAUGGGCGAAAGCCUGAUCCAGCAAUGCCGCGUGAGUGAUGAAGGCCUUAGGGUUGUAAAGCUCUUUUACCCGGGAUGAUAAUGACAGUACCGGGUGAAUAAGCUCCGGCUAACUCCGUG